AAAGCGUGCGCAGGCGGUGAUGUAAGACAGAUGUGAAAUCCCCGGGCUCAACCUGGGACCUGCAUUUGUGACUGCAUCGCUAGAGUACGGCAGAGGGGGAUGGAAUUCCGCGUGUAGCAGUGAAAUGCGUAGAUAUGCGGAGGAACACCGAUGGCGAAGGCAAUCCCCUGGGCCUGUACUGACGCUCAUGCACGAAAGCGUGGGGAGCAAACAGGAUUAGAUACCCGUGU
RNAcentral lists this ribosomal RNA (230 nucleotides) under uncultured bacterium. Its description in RNAcentral is "partial 16S ribosomal RNA". It matches the Rfam family "Bacterial small subunit ribosomal RNA", at positions 562 to 791 of the family's 1533-position model. The record is from RNAcentral.